CUUUAAAGGAUCAAAGU
RNAcentral lists this transfer RNA (17 nucleotides) under Egernia epsisolus (Eastern Pilbara spiny-tailed skink). RNAcentral describes it as "partial tRNA-Leu". The record is from RNAcentral. Lineage: Eukaryota; Metazoa; Chordata; Lepidosauria; Squamata; Scincidae.